AGUUAAGGCUGCUGCUUUUUGUCCAUGAAGCUCUAAAUCUAGUCUUUCCCUCCAGCAGUCUCUUUCUCUCUUCUGCAUUAUCACCACAUUAGCAAAAGCCAGUGAUGCUUGAAUUGUAACCUUAAUAUGAAAGAGAGUAAAUUCCCGAAACUUUGUACUGAAUAGUCUGUUAUCAGUUAAAUAUCAAGGCAUGUGGAGGAGCACAUCUGUUUUUCUGGACAUCUGGGAGGUAGCGGGUGAGAAAAUAUGGAAUGGAUGGAGAGAUCUCAUCUGGCUUCAAUUUACUGUGCGUAAUAACAAGAUCUUUAUAGCACUUCUGUAUGGGCUAUCUAGCUCAUAGAGGUAAUACCAGUACUUUCAGACAUGGUUGUAAUGAUCUGCAAAAAAAAAAAAAAAAAGAAAAGAAAAAGAAAACUAGAGAAAUUGGAUCACAAGACAUGCUACAAACCAGCAGCAGGAAAGGAGUACCUUUCACAGGCUGAUGACUGAGUGGGCAAAUUCAUGUGAAUUCUGCAGAAUUCCUGCAGCCAAGCCAGCCCACCACACUGCCAUCUCAAGUAUCUCUGCGUAAGGACAGGAUAUCAGUCCAAUGACUUAAGCUGGAUUUAGAUCAAUUCCACCUCCUUACUACAAACCCAUGAAACCACUACAAAAGGCUUUAAGACUUGUUGCUGGAUAUCCCGUUUCAACGUUGUGCAGAAGGGCAAUUAUUUGGCGAAACAAUUGCCAAGUUAGUAUUACAUCUGUAAAACGUUUCUCCUUAGCUUUGGUAUACUUUCUUCUUUAUCUUUCAGUGUUUUUAUAAUCAUGGUGAUGCAAAAAUAUUCACUGGAACUGCUACUGGUGUUACUGUCAGUAGUCACUUAUGAGCACAUUAGUACCUUUUUCUACUGAAUAUUAUUACUUCUGAAAUCAGGCUUUAUUUAUGCUGGAUAAAAUCAAACAUGCCAUGAAGCACAGGUGAUAAAUGCGCUUGAAUUCCAGUUAUGCUUUAUUUUUCAUAUUGAGUGCCAGCAGUCAAGUUGGAUGAUGGAGAACCAAUGUCAGUGCAGACACUGGCACAGUUGAUUCACAAAUAAAUGCUUUAGGAUCCACGUGGUAGUGGUGAGCGCUGAGCUGGGGGUGAGGUGGGAGGACAUGACUGUGUGUGUUCAUGGGGUUGGAAGGGCCAUCGUGUUUCACAGAUUCCAAACAACAAAUUCUGACAAGUGAAAAAUGUUUGAUUUUUAAAAGUCACACAGCUAGCCCUUUUUUUAAACACUUUCCGUAUUUAUUUAACCUAGUAAAUAGGUUUAUUAGCAAGGUUCCAUUCUUUGUAGUUUAGGUAAUGGAUUUACCAUAUGUUUAUGCUUUAAGGACUUGUGUAAGACUGCUAACACCUAUUUCUCCACCUCCUGUCUCAGAGGUUAAGACCUUGGUAUGUUGCCAGUUUACUGCUGUGGUCCUUUCCCCUUGUAUAAUUACAGUCAUUCCCAGAGUGAAGGAAAUUCCCUGAGCUUUUACUCUAACUAGCCACAGUGUUUCACUACAAAAAGGCACUUCUUUAAAAAGAAGAAAAGUAAUAAAACUUUCACAUUAUUAACUUUUUCCCUUUUAAAAGAGGCUGGAAAAUGCCAUUGUACCACAUUAAAGGCCUUUAUAUAAGACUCACCAUUGGGUAAUGAGCCUUGUUGUACAAUCUACCACAUGCAACUGCCUUCAAGUGCUGCUUUUAACUUAACCUUGAUGUAGUGCCAGGAAUGUGCAAAGGAUAUACUUUGAUGGUGGAGGCAGUCUACUUCUCUCUCUCUCUCUCUUUUUCCCUUUUUUUUUUUUCCUUUUUCUCCUUUUCCGAAUCAGUACACCACAAAAUAUACGCAAGAUUUAAAUUUUAUUGUUUAGCUGAGCAAUUGAAAUACAUUCCAUAAAAGAGGAAUAAGGAAUUAUCUGUUCUAUGGAAAUAAGCCAGUAGGUCAGUUAUUUAUAAUAGAAAUGAUAAUAAGUUGUUACUUUGUACUUAUGCAGUGACUUUCUUCCUGCAGACAAACAGAAUUUCAUAGGCAUCCUCACAACUCCCCUGUGAAGCAAGUAUCAUAAUCGCUGUUUUAUGAUUAAUAAAACUAGUUCAAUUACUUUCCUGAAGAUUACACAAAAUAUCCGUAUCAGAAAAAGGAUCUGAAGAAUUUUCACUUUCAGUUACCUCUUUGAUUAUGAGCCAUUUCCUCCCAUCACUAGAGUGAAUUAUUUUGGUAACAGUGCUACUGGAAUUUGUUUAAAUUCCAUGUUAUGGCCAGAUGUGUUCUACUAGAAACAUGUAUUCAAUUUAUAUAAUAAUAUGCAUGGGAUAUGUAAUAAAAUAUGAUUUUAGAAACACUUGACAUUAGUCUUUUCUUAAAUAAAAUAAAUAUG
This 2388-nucleotide long non-coding RNA is filed under the name Gallus gallus (chicken). RNAcentral's name for it is "lncRNA (ENSGALG00010003974.1)". Lineage: Eukaryota; Metazoa; Chordata; Aves; Galliformes; Phasianidae. The record is from RNAcentral.